RNAcentral lists this ribosomal RNA (301 nucleotides) under uncultured bacterium. RNAcentral describes it as "partial 16S ribosomal RNA". It matches the Rfam family "Bacterial small subunit ribosomal RNA", at positions 509 to 807 of the family's 1533-position model. The record is from RNAcentral.
CAGCCGCCGCGGUAAUACGUAGGGGGCAAGCGUUAUCCGGAGUUACUGGGUGUAAAGGGAGCGUAGACGGUUAAACAAGUCUGAAGUGAAAUGCCGGGGCUCAACCCCGGAGCUGCUUUGGGAACUGUAGAACUGGAGUGUCGGAGGGGUAAGCGGAAUUCCCAGUGUAGCGGUGAAAUGCGUAGAUAUUGGGAGGAACACCGGCGGCGAAGGCGGCUUACUGGACGACAACUGACGUUGAGGCUCGAAGGCGUGGGUAGCAAACAGGAUUAGAUACCCCCGUAGUCCCUGUCUCUUAUAC